GGGCCCGCACAAGCGGUGGAGUAUGUGGUUUAAUUCGAUGCAACGCGAAGAACCUUACCUACCCUUGACAUGUCAGGAAUUUUGCAGAGAUGCGAAAGUGCUCGAAAGAGAACCUGAACACAGGUGCUGCAUGGCUGUCGUCAGCUCGUGUCGUGAGAUGUUGGGUUAAGUCCCGCAACGAGCGCAACCCUUGUCAUUAGUUGCUACGCAAGGGCACUCUAAUGAGACUGCCGGUGACAAACCGGAGGAAGGUGGGGACGACGUCAAGUCCUCAUGGCCCUUAUGGGUAGGGCUUCACACGUCAUACAAUGGUUGGUACAGAGGGUCGCGAACCCGCGGAGGGGAGCUAAUACCCAAAAAACCAAUCGUAGUCCGGAUUGCAGUCUGCAACUCGACUGCAUGAAGUCGGAAUCGCUAGUAAUCGC
RNAcentral lists this ribosomal RNA (425 nucleotides) under uncultured bacterium. RNAcentral's name for it is "bacterial SSU rRNA". It matches the Rfam family "Bacterial small subunit ribosomal RNA", at positions 917 to 1345 of the family's 1533-position model. The record is from RNAcentral.